AUGGGCACCACAAGAACGCGUGGAGCAUGUGGCUUAAUUUGACUCAACCCGGGAAAUCUUACCAGGUCCAGACAUAUUGAGGAUUGACAGGCGAUAGUAUAUAAAAUAUAUUUUUAUAUGCAUAAAAAUGAUAGUCCUUUAAUGAUUAUAUGAUAGGUGGUGCAUGGCCGUUCUUAGUUCGUGGAGUGAUUUGUCUGCUUAAUUGCGUUUCAGUAAAUAAAAUAUAUAAUAUAUUAUAAUAUUUAGUUCUGCCAUUUAUUUAUGGAUUUAAAGUGAACAUAUUAUAUAUAUUAUUAUAUAAUAAAUGAAUGCAACGAACGUGACCGUAACCUUUUAUUGCUAUUGAAAAUUAUAAUUAUAGCAUAAAAUUAAAGGAACCGCUGUCAUUACUAAAUAUGUGUUAAAAUAGAGUAAGAUUAUGGCAAUAACAGGUCUGUGAUGCCCUCAGAUGUUCUGGGCUGCACACGUGCUACAAUAAUUACAUUAAUAAGUAUAUAUACUUUAUAAUAUAUAAUAUUAUAUUACAACCUAUUUCGAAAGUAAAUCGGUAAUCAUUUAAAAAUCGUGAUUAAUUAAUAUAAAUAUAAUUAAUUUAAGGUGGGGAUAGUGUAUUGUUAAUUAUUACACUUGGCCUUAACUAGGAAUGCCUUGUACUCUUCUUUGGUUUAACAUACCAAGAGGAAUACGUCCCUGCCCUUUGUACACACCGCCCGUCGCUCUUACCGAUGAAUUAUAUUAUAAAUCUAAGGGAUUUAUUAUAAUUAAAAUAUAAAAAACUUAUAUACAUAAUGUGAUUUAAAGGAAAGAGAAGUCGAACAAGGCA
Molecule: ribosomal RNA, 823 nt
Filed under: Sorites orbiculus
Lineage: Eukaryota; Foraminifera; Miliolida; Soritidae
Description: SSU rRNA
Rfam family: Eukaryotic small subunit ribosomal RNA
Source: RNAcentral